RNAcentral lists this ribosomal RNA (216 nucleotides) under uncultured bacterium. RNAcentral describes it as "partial 16S ribosomal RNA". It matches the Rfam family "Bacterial small subunit ribosomal RNA", at positions 1285 to 1500 of the family's 1533-position model. The record is from RNAcentral.
AUCUCAGUUCAGAUUGCAGGCUGCAACUCGCCUGCAUGAAGUCGGAAUUGCUAGUAAUCGUAGGUCAGCAUACUACGGUGAAUACGUUCCCGGGCCUUGUACACACCGCCCGUCAAACCAUGAGAGUUGGCAACACCCGAAGUCGGUAGUCUAACCGCAAGGAGGACGCAGCCGAAGGUGGGGUUGAUGAUUAGGGUUAAGUCGUAACAAGGUACC